Long non-coding RNA from Herpailurus yagouaroundi (jaguarundi), 646 nucleotides. RefSeq lists it as uncharacterized. The transcript has 2 exons. The record is from RefSeq and is a predicted model, not a curated record. NCBI's taxonomy places the organism in Eukaryota, Metazoa, Chordata, Mammalia, Carnivora, Felidae.
ACCUGGCCCCUUAUCUUGGCUCUCUUGGUCAGCACUCCCUCCUCCUGUCAGCCUGGGUGAUUCUUGACCUUCUGUGACUUCCUCCCUCUGCACUCCUCACUUGGAAACCCCGUUUGGGGUUUAUAAUCACUCUUCCUCUUGGAAAUGGUCUUCAGAUUAUAAAAGCUUUACACCCACAAAGCCUGGAUCUGCCCGUGGGGCUGUGCCCGGAGGGUCUCGAGCCGUUGCUACCGGCUCUCCCGGGGACCAGACGCCAUUCGGCCACACACACCCGACGCUUUACCCCCCCCCUCGUGGCACUUGCGGUGGAGGGAACUUAAUGACCUAUGCCCAAACACUUCAAUUUCUGAUCGGUUUUUGAAGGUUCUGGAAGAAGCCAGAAUUUCUUUAUCGUAAACAUCUGAAGUAAAGGCCGUCCUGAAAGAGCUCCCGCUUGAGUUGUAUGCCGCUUCUCGGUCCGCGGACAGCCCAGAUGAAGCACCGAGUGGGAGAGAGAGACGUGGGGGAACGUGACGCCCUCUGACAGGUUGGAACCCACAAAUCCGGGAAACUGCUUGGAGGCCAGACACAGGCUCCGCACCUAAACUCAAGUGCUUUCUCUUUUCUUCCUGCAAAUUUGUUAGUGAACAUGUAGUGUAAUAUUGGC